UGGCGAACGGGUGAGUAACACGUGGGUAAUCUGCCCUGCACUCUGGGAUAAGCCUGGGAAACUGGGUCUAAUACUGGAUAUGACCUUUCUCCUUAUGGGGUUUGGUAGAAAGUUUUUCGGUGUAGGAUGAGCCCGCGGCCUAUCAGCUUGUUGGUGGGGUGAUGGCCUACCAAGGCGACGACGGGUAGCCGGCCUGAGAGGGUGAUCGGCCACAUUGGGACUGAGAUACGGCCCAG
RNAcentral lists this ribosomal RNA (236 nucleotides) under uncultured Actinomycetales bacterium. RNAcentral describes it as "partial 16S ribosomal RNA". It matches the Rfam family "Bacterial small subunit ribosomal RNA", at positions 96 to 334 of the family's 1533-position model. The record is from RNAcentral. Lineage: Bacteria; Bacillati; Actinomycetota; Actinomycetes; Actinomycetales.